ACAAUCCCCUUCUUUUUUCCUAUAAGACAAUAACUAAGGCUUAGCAGAAAUAACCAUUAGGUUAUAAGCAUCCUUCUCUCUCCAAAAGUUGCUACACAUUUAUAGAAUUUGUGAUUCCCUUAAUGCUUUAAGGUUUUGAUGCCACAUUGUAGAUAGCGCUUAGUUAAGGAGAAUAGGAUAAAGCAAAACUAAAAUAAGGAGGUAUAAAAUAAAUCUUUAACAAUCUAUUUUCUGGAUUCUAUAGAGGCCGUUAACCAGGAUCAUACAUAGGUUUCAGUCCUUAUG
This is a long non-coding RNA of Pipistrellus kuhlii (Kuhl's pipistrelle), 285 nucleotides long. RefSeq lists it as uncharacterized. The transcript has 3 exons. The record is from RefSeq and is a predicted model, not a curated record. NCBI's taxonomy places the organism in Eukaryota, Metazoa, Chordata, Mammalia, Chiroptera, Vespertilionidae.